GCUUGGGGAGGCUUUGGGGGGGGCCGCGCUCGGCAGCGGUCCCCGCGUCAGCUCUGGGCAUCUGCCAGAGCACCCCUCCAGGCAACUUCUUCCCACAGCCCCCUCUGAUGGACCCCCGACUCUCCUCACCCCUCGCCCGUCCGGCGGGGCACAAAGAAAUCCCAGUAAACCUUGGUAAACUUUGAGCUUCCAGUUAGGCCGCCCCUCCCGCCCCGGGCCUCCGCCCCGCCCGCGCGGCGCCCUGGCAGGAAGGUUAGGCCCCUGGCAAGACCCUGGGCGAGAGGCAGCUGACCACGAAUGCCAACUGCGUGUCUGGGGCCAGCUGAGCCCUCUGCUCCGCCGGGCUCUCGGAGGCCACCUCCCUGCGCUCGAGGUUCCCGGGAGGCCGCCGCGGGCGCGGACCACCCGCCACCCCCGUAGCCCGCGCGGCCGGGAUGCUGAGCCGCGUCCUCACUGUGCUCUUUCUCACCUCGAGUUCUCGGGGGAGCUCGCAAAAAUUCCGAAUUCGGAAGCAGGCAGGUAUUUUUCCUCCUAUCAAAAAGGGGGACCUGUUAUUAGCCAGGUGAUUAGCCCGAGGUGGGAAAUGAACCGCCUCCAGGCAGAACACUAACUUUUCGAGGAAGUCUGUGGAAGUUCUGAAAUCCCACCCCGUCCCAUGACCUGUAAUUCUUCUUAGUUCUUCUGCCACAGGGAAGCAGCCAGCGACUAAUAAAAGAUUUGAUCUUGCCAUAAUUUCCCAAGCAGCUGGAUUUGUCCAUGUAAUGAAGUUCAGACCAAUAAAAUGCAAGCAGAGAUCUACUGGAUAUGGCUAAAAGAACCUGAAAUGGUUUUGCUCAAAAGCACAAUCCAUUUUUUUCUUGGCCCAUCUCUUUGCUCACAUCUGGAAUGGGGAAUGAUGCUUGGAUACAGAAGAGCCAUCUUGUAAUCAUAAGAGCAAAAUCUACACAGUUUGGACCAGAGUUGGAAAAGAGGAGCCAAUUCUGAUGACUUCCUUUAGCAGUAUAUUAGCCCUGAACUGACUCUGGAGUCCUUAUUCUGCAAGAAGAAAAACACUGUUUUGUUAAGCACUGUAUUUAGGUCUGUUACAUACAGCCAAAGCCAAACCUAAUUACUACACAAGAGACCUUCUGCGUAAGGUGGUGCUGUUUUUUUGCCUUUUGAGACGUUGGUUUAAGGGAGGUUAUUUUCUUAUUAUGCUUUAUACUUUCAAAAGAUUUCUAUCCACCCCCCCCCUUUUUUUUUUAACAUUUUAGAAGUUGUUUGGUUAUCUACAAAUAAUUUCAAUGACUUCUUCCAUCCUCUUUACCUUUAAGGGUUUUUUAAAGAUUUUUAUUUUAAAUAAAUAAAUUUAAACUUAUGAGAGACAUAGAAAGAGAGGCAGAGACAUAGGCAGAGGGAGAAGCAGGCUCCUUGGGGGAGCCUGAUGCGGGACUCAAUCCUGGGGCCCCGGGAUCAUGACCUGAGCUGAAGGCAAAUGCUCAACCACUAAGCAACCCAGGUGCCCCUACCUUUAGAUUUACUCCUUUUUUAUUCUUAUAUUUUCUUCUCUGGAGUAAAGGGAAAUAACAGUAAUGCCUAUCCUGGGUACUGUCACCUUUAAUUCUUUCAGGGGCUAUGAGCAAUGUAAAAAAAAUAAAUGAAGCAUCCAACAGAUGUCUGAUACAGGUGAGCAUUAUGGAGACAUAGAGAAUACAUGUUCCUGGUAAAAGUUUUUAAAUACAAAUAAAAUAGUUAUUGUAUUGUUCAAAGAAAUAACUUGCAAGCACAAUCUGACUAUAGGCUAAAAUUCUGCAGAUUCUUCAUAUAAGACAUACUUGAUGCAAAAAAACUGUCACACUUACUGAGCUGCAAUGCACCUACUCACCAAAACACCAACAUCAGUAAUAACAACAAUAUACAAUUAAGACCUUUUAAAAUUGAAAGUAUAUUUAGCUAAAAUAUUUCCCCUUAUUUUCUUACAAAUUGAAACUGGUUUUCCCCUUUCUGGUUUUUGACUGAUACAGAAGAUAAUGCAGUAACUCUAAUAUUAUACUCAACAGACAAAAGAAACAAACAAAAAUCCUCUGUGGGGGUUGCUUUGUCUUUGGAAGAAAACCAACCAUAAGCAAAAAUGUAAGAUAGAAACAUCUACAUUUCCCACCCCCAUCCUUCUUCAGUUACUUUCCUCUCUCUGCCUUAAUAUAUAUGUUCAGGAGUUGUAUUAUAGUAAUGGCUUAUAAUACACUUUAAGACCCUAAUUAACAAAGCAGUUGUUACUACUGAUAUCCAGUUCCUUGCACAUAAACCACCAAAGUGUGUCUUGCUUUCCAGUAAGACUGAAUACAAAUGGAAUCUACCAACACCAGGCUUGUGCUGCUCCCAAUUCCUACAGAGAUGAGUGGAUUGCAGUGGUAACACUGGUUAGCUCUUGUUCUGUUGGUUAGUUCUUUGGUCCUAAACACUUACAUCUGCAUAGAUAAAAGUUUGGCCAGCAAGAAACUGAGGUUCAGAAUGGAAAACCGUACUUAAGUUCACACAGUAACUGGAGAAGCUGGAAUUCUUAUCAUGCACUGCCUAAUAAGAAAACUGAUGGAGUUUUCCUUAUGCCAUUAAAGCUCCCCUGAUGGAGGAAAAUUACAAAAUCUGGACUCUUAAACAGACAGUGAAUUGGACUGAUAAUCAGGAAAACAAGGGUCUAAACUAGACUCACCGGCCGAGUGGUUUAGGCAAUGGACUAAACGAGACUCAUCAACUUGGAGAAUUUUAUUCAUCACUUUGUUCACAUUGGAACCACAUGUAGACCUGACAGAGAAGACAGAGAACUUGGAUUCCCCCAUUCACUGCAUGGGGUAGCACUGGAUUAUUUUCUUUGGGAAGAGAGGGGACAGAGAUACACUAAAGGACAGAAACAUCUUUGGUCCCUGCAUCACCACUUGGAGGGGAGCUUCUCAGGAGAUCUGCCUGCAGACUGUUGCCAGAAUGCAAAAUAAGCAGAAAUUCCAAGUUGGCUGAUAGGAAAGCACAAACUUUGUGAAAAGGAAGAAAGCUUCUCUUAGGAAGAGAAACCAGCACUACAUUUGACUGCAUGGUUCUGUUUCAGGAAGCAAACUGCUAUGCUGUGAACUUUCCCUUGGAGAGGCCCACAUGGCAAAGAAUUAAGGAAGGUCUCUGGCCAACAUCCAGUGAAGAACUGAAACCAAGAGGGACUAAAUCUUGAGUUGCUUGGACUACUACAUGCCUGAGCUUGGAAGCAGAUCUUCCUCCAGUCAAGACUUGAGAUGAGACUGCAGUCUCAGCUGACACCUUGAUUGUAGCAUGUAAGAGACCUUGAGUCAGACGGAACUAGUCAUGCUGCACCUGAACUCCUGACCCACAGAAACUCUGAGAUAAUAGAUAUUUAUUAUUUUAAGCAUCUCAGUUUUGGGCCAAUUUAUCACAGAGCAGUACAUACCUAAUACCAUUUGUAAGAAUAAAAUUGUAAAGAAAUGUUGAGAAUGUACAGUAAUGUUUUGAAAUAAAGUAUAGCACAGACAAAUAAUCUUAAGAACUUCUUCCCUCUUACUCUAAAGUCAAUCCUAAAAGGAAAAUAUUUAUAGACUUAAAAUAUAAAACUUGUGGGAAUUAAAAUUUUAAGUACAGUGUAUAUUCAAAAUAUCUGUCUACAAACUUAUCAGACUUAUUAUCCCUCUGUUUUUCAAUGUUGGCAAUACAAUAUGUAUGGCUUUGUAUAUGUUCUAUUAAGUAUAAAGUAAAUACAGCAAAUACUCUUAGGAAUAAAAUAAAGUAACCAAAGUGUCCGUUGAUAUAGUUCAAGAUUAAAUCAUUGUAGCAUAUAAUUUAAGAAUAUUAAAUUUAACAUUCAGAAAAGGGGAUAAAAAUUGCUCAGAAAGAAAUUGAGCUAUUUGUCAUCCUUUGGGAAAAAGAGAUUUGUAGUGCCUUAGUACUUAUGAGAAAUGUUUGAGAUAAGUAUGUAAGUUCCUAUUCAAAAGUCAUUUGAUAAUCUAUUUUUAGUUUGGAACUAAGGAAACAUUAAACAAAAUUAUCUUAUAUAACAAAUAUUAAAAUGUAAACUGAUUUUUGUUUCUUACAGAAUUUAGUAAACAGUUGAACUCAACAAUGUAAAAGAAAAGCUUGGUCUCCAGCGAACAUAUAUCUGUAUAACUGCACGACAACAUGGUAUCCUUGGCUUAUCAAAUUUUGUUUCCAAGUUUUUAUGACUGAAGAAAAGAACAAUUGCUCAUAUUACCUCUCUCUACAUAUAUCUAUAUAGUCUGUGUAGACUACAAAUUGUUGAGUAGGUUUUAAAAUCCUUUAUGGUAGUUUAUAUAAUAAAAAGCAUAAAAUGAUUUAAACACUAAACUAGGGAAUUUCAGCAUUCUUUGCAGGCAAAUUCUCUUUCCUAAAUAACGUAUCUUACCUACCAUUUCCAGAAGGCUGUGUUGACCUUGAUCUUAAUAACCAAAACUUCCUUGGUCAGAGUGAGACAUUUGGCCCAAAUUAGGCCAAUCAGAUUUCUCUAUAAGGGAUUUUAAACUGUAGUAUCCUAUGUGUCAUCAUCAAAUAGUGCUGGGCACUGGGGCUUGAUAAAAUACAGAGCUAGAGGCUACAUCAGAAACAGGGCAGCAUAGGUUGGCAAAGAGAAGGUAAACUGAUGAGAUAAUAGAAUGAGACAGAGAAGGAGGUUUGUCUGCCAAACACUAUUCAUUGGUGGGAUUGUAUAUGUGUAUGUCCCUUCCUGCGGUCCCCUAUGGAUAAAGUACACUCUCACAUCCUUCCAUUGCCACCCACAGGCAUUCUCCUCAUCUUUGCAAAAAGUUCCCAUUAAUUAAUCAUGCUGAUCAUCUUCUUCUCAUUCUCCUUAGAAUUUGUAUUUCCAGAUAACUCCCAAGUAUCUAGAGUACUGAGCAACGGGGUUAUUUUUCUUUGUGUUGAUUGAUUUCUUUUUCUUCUAAUGCUGUCCCUGAACUUUAAAUAGUGAGUCUUGGGGUAAGUAACUUUAUUAGUUCUCUUUUGGGUAGGAUACUGUUGUGAUGCACAUCCUUGGUAGGGCUCAGCUCCUCUCUGCCCACAGACUAGACAGGAAUCACCAUUGUGGAGGUAAGACAUUGAGAAAGAUGUCAGGAAAGAGAAAGGUCACAAAGUCAUUAUUUAACUGUCACGUUCUCAUUGAGGACUUUCUGACUAACUUGUGUAAAAUUUCAAACUUCACCCAUCCAACCCUCCAACACACACAUAUUUUCUAUCCCCACUCCAUUCCUCAUUUUUCUCCUGAGUAUACAUCCCUUAGUUGCUUAUUUCAUACUUUGUUAUGUUGUUUAUUUUAUGUCUCUCCUAUUAAAAUGUAAGUCUUAUGAGAGCAAGAAUUUUUCCUCCAUUUCAUUGAUACGUAUACCCAAACCCUAGAAGCAAAAUCAGCUACUUAGUUAAUGGGGCCAAGUGUGAAAUGAAAAAUGCAGUGUCCCAUGAUAAGAAAUUAUUAAGAAUCUUAAGACAGUUACAGCAGAGCAUUAAAUCAAGUGCAGGGCCCUGAGUAAUUGCAGAGGUUGCAAGCUAUGAAACUGGCCCUGUCUAGAACUUCCUUUAUAAAGCACCAACAUAUUGUAAAUUAAUAUUCCAGUAGGCAAGACUUUGUUCCAUUUACUUUUUACAUAGCCUGUGAGGACAACCAGCACGUUAGCAUAUCCCACGAUACUCAAGUGUCCCUAUGACAAAAGAUGAACCAAUGAACAUCUAGAGAGUUUUCUGUAAGACCUCCCCACAUUUUAGCAUUUAAAAGAACCGUCAUGUAAUUUCUCUCACAUGUAAAACCCACAGGUACACAGAAAAUAAA
Molecule: long non-coding RNA, 5809 nt
Organism: Canis lupus familiaris (dog)
Lineage: Eukaryota; Metazoa; Chordata; Mammalia; Carnivora; Canidae
Exons: 6
Source: RefSeq, a predicted model, not a curated record